Molecule: ribosomal RNA, 428 nt
Filed under: uncultured bacterium
Lineage: Bacteria
Description: bacterial SSU rRNA
Rfam family: Bacterial small subunit ribosomal RNA
Source: RNAcentral
GGGCCCGCACAAGCGGUGGAGUAUGUGGUUUAAUUCGAUGCAACGCGAAGAACCUUACCAGGGUUUGACAUCCUGCGAAUCUCUUGGAAACGAGAGAGUGCCUUCGGGAGCGCAGUGACAGGUGGUGCAUGGCUGUCGUCAGCUCGUGUCGUGAGAUGUUGGGUUAAGUCCGGCAACGAGCGCAACCCUCGUUCCUAGUUGCCAGCGGGUAAUGCCGGGGACUCUAGGAAGACAAACCUCGUGUAGAGGUGGGAAGGUGGGGACGACGUCAAGUCAGUAUGGCCCUUACGACCAGGGCUGCACACGUGCUACAAUGCUUGGUACAAUGGGAUGCAACACCGCGAGGUUGAGCUAAUCCACAAAACCAAGCCCAGUUCGGAUUGGAGUCUGCAACUCGACUCCAUGAAGUUGGAAUCGCUAGUAAUGGC